UUUGGUUAAGUUAGAAAGGGCGCACGGUGGAUGCCUUGACACUAGGAGUCGAUGAAGGACGGGACUAACGCCGAUAUGCUUCGGGGAGCUGUAAGUAAGCUUUGAUCCGAAGAUUUCCGAAUGGGGAAACCCACCAUACGUAAUGGUAUGGUAUCCUUAUCUGAAUACAUAGGGUAAGGAAGACAGACCCAGGGAACUGAAACAUCUAAGUACCUGGAGGAAGAGAAAGCAAAUGCGAUUUCCUGAGUAGCGGCGAGCGAAACGGAACAUAGCCCAAACCAAGAGGCUUGCCUCUUGGGGUUGUAGGACAUUCUAUACGGAGUUACAAAGGAACGAGGUAGACGAAGCGACCUGGAAAGGUCCGUCGUAGAGGGUAACAACCCCGUAGUCGAAACUUCGUUCUCUCUUGAAUGUAUCCUGAGUACGGCGGAACACGUGAAAUUCCGUCGGAAUCUGGGAGGACCAUCUCCCAAGGCUAAAUACUCCCUAGUGAUCGAUAGUGAACCAGUACCGUGAGGGAAAGGUGAAAAGCACCCCGGAAGGGGAGUGAAAGAGAUCCUGAAACCGUGUGCCUACAAAUAGUCAGAGCCCGUUAACGGGUGAUGGCGAGCCUUUUGUAGAAUGAACCGGCGAGUUACGAUCCCGUGCGAGGUUAAGCUGAAGAGGCGGAGCCGCAGCGAAAGCGAGUCUGAAUAGGGCGUUUAGUACGUGGUCGUAGACCCGAAACCAGGUGAUCUACCCAUGUCCAGGGUGAAGUUCAGGUAACACUGAAUGGAGGCCCGAACCCACGCACGUUGAAAAGUGCGGGGAUGAGGUGUGGGUAGCGGAGAAAUUCCAAUCGAACCUGGAGAUAGCUGGUUCUCCCCGAAAUAGCUUUAGGGCUAGCCUUAAGUGUAAGAGUCUUGGAGGUAGAGCACUGAUUGGACUAGGGGUCCUCAUCGGAUUACCGAAUUCAGUCAAACUCCGAAUGCCAAUGACUUAUCCUUAGGAGUCAGACUGCGAGUGAUAAGAUCCGUAGUCAAAAGGGAAACAGCCCAGACCGCCAGCUAAGGUCCCAAAGUGUGUAUUAAGUGGAAAAGGAUGUGGAGUUGCUUAGACAACUAGGAUGUUGGCUUAGAAGCAGCCACCAUUUAAAGAGUGCGUAAUAGCUCACUAGUCGAGUGACUCUGCGCCGAAAAUGUACCGGGGCUAAAUACACCACCGAAGCUGCGGAUUGAUACCAAUGGUAUCAGUGGUAGGGGAGCGUUCUAAGGACAGUGAAGUCAGACCGGAAGGACUGGUGGAGUGCUUAGAAGUGAGAAUGCCGGUAUGAGUAGCGAAAGACGGGUGAGAAUCCCGUCCACCGGAUUGCCUAAGGUUUCCUGAGGAAGGCUCGUCCGCUCAGGGUUAGUCAGGACCUAAGCCGAGGCCGACAGGCGUAGGCGAUGGACAACAGGUUGAUAUUCCUGUACCACCUCUUUAUCGUUUGAGCAAUGGAGGGACGCAGAAGGAUAGAAGAAGCGUGCGAUUGGUUGUGCACGUCCAAGCAGUUAGGCUGAUAAGUAGGCAAAUCCGCUUAUCGUGAAGGCUGAGCUGUGAUGGGGAAGCUCCUUAUGGAGCGAAGUCUUUGAUUCCCCGCUGCCAAGAAAAGCUUCUAGCGAGAUAAAAGGUGCCUGUACCGCAAACCGACACAGGUAGGCGAGGAGAGAAUCCUAAGGUGUGCGAGAGAACUCUGGUUAAGGAACUCGGCAAAAUGACCCCGUAACUUCGGGAGAAGGGGUGCUUUCUUAACGGAAAGCCGCAGUGAAUAGGCCCAAGCGACUGUUUAGCAAAAACACAGCUCUCUGCGAAGCCGUAAGGCGAAGUAUAGGGGGUGACACCUGCCCGGUGCUGGAAGGUUAAGGAGAGGGGUUAGCGUAAGCGAAGCUCUGAACUGAAGCCCCAGUAAACGGCGGCCGUAACUAUAACGGUCCUAAGGUAGCGAAAUUCCUUGUCGGGUAAGUUCCGACCCGCACGAAAGGUGUAACGAUUUGGGCACUGUCUCAACCAGAGACUCGGUGAAAUUAUAGUACCUGUGAAGAUGCAGGUUACCCGCGACAGGACGGAAAGACCCCGUGGAGCUUUACUGUAGCCUGAUAUUGAAUUUUGGUACAGUUUGUACAGGAUAGGCGGGAGCCUUUGAAACCGGAGCGCUAGCUUCGGUGGAGGCGCUGGUGGGAUACCGCCCUGACUGUAUUGAAAUUCUAACCUACGGGUCUUAUCGACCCGGGAGACAGUGUCAGGUGGGCAGUUUGACUGGGGCGGUCGCCUCCUAAAGUGUAACGGAGGCGCCCAAAGGUUCCCUCAGAAUGGUUGGAAAUCAUUCGUAGAGUGCAAAGGCAUAAGGGAGCUUGACUGCGAGACCUACAAGUCGAGCAGGGACGAAAGUCGGGCUUAGUGAUCCGGUGGUUCCGCAUGGAAGGGCCAUCGCUCAACGGAUAAAAGCUACCCCGGGGAUAACAGGCUUAUCUCCCCCAAGAGUCCACAUCGACGGGGAGGUUUGGCACCUCGAUGUCGGCUCAUCGCAUCCUGGGGCUGUAGUCGGUCCCAAGGGUUGGGCUGUUCGCCCAUUAAAGCGGUACGCGAGCUGGGUUCAGAACGUCGUGAGACAGUUCGGUCCCUAUCCGUCGUGGGCGUAGGAAAUUUGAGAGGAGCUGUCCUUAGUACGAGAGGACCGGGAUGGACGCACCGCUGGUGUACCAGUUGUUCUGCCAAGGGCAUAGCUGGGUAGCUAUGUGCGGAAGGGAUAAGUGCUGAAAGCAUCUAAGCAUGAAGCCCCCCUCAAGAUGAGAUUUCCCAUAGCGUAAGCUAGUAAGAUCCCUGAAAGAUGAUCAGGUUGAUAGGUUCGAGGUGGAAGCAUGGUGACAUGUGGAGCUGACGAAUACUAAUAGAUCGAGGACUUAACCAUAUAA
This 2930-nucleotide ribosomal RNA is filed under the name Bacillus anthracis (anthrax bacterium). RNAcentral describes it as "23S ribosomal RNA". It matches the Rfam family "Bacterial large subunit ribosomal RNA". Lineage: Bacteria; Bacillati; Bacillota; Bacilli; Caryophanales; Bacillaceae. The record is from RNAcentral.